GAUUUAUGCCGUUAUUCUGGAGGGUGACAUUGUUGCAAAUACUGAAGAUAAUAAAGCUCGGGAUUUGUUCCGGAAGGGAUUUGCUCGGCUCAAAACAAAGAACAUGGUAAAGUAUGCUGAGAAAAAGAUGAAGAUUGCGGAGCUGUUGAAUUUACACAAGAGAGUAGCCGAAGACCUGAUGAACAGAUUUCUGAAAGGAUCUGGCAGGUGCCUGAAGGCUACUAGUAAUUUGCCUUCUCUAUCCAGAAACUAACUACUUGGCUCACCCC
Lolium rigidum is the source of this 269-nucleotide long non-coding RNA. RefSeq lists it as uncharacterized. The transcript has 3 exons. The record is from RefSeq and is a predicted model, not a curated record. Lineage: Eukaryota; Viridiplantae; Streptophyta; Magnoliopsida; Poales; Poaceae.